RNAcentral lists this long non-coding RNA (1486 nucleotides) under Homo sapiens (human). RNAcentral's name for it is "HSALNT0164244". The record is from RNAcentral. Lineage: Eukaryota; Metazoa; Chordata; Mammalia; Primates; Hominidae.
AAAAAAGAACCAUAACAACCAGUGUUGUAUGGUGGACCCAAUUUUGCCACUAACUCAGUGUGGUCUUGAGCAAGUCAUUUCCCACCUGUUUCCUCAUCUAUAAAAUGACAGCUAGGGAUGGGCUAAAGGAGCCUUGAGGUUUCUUCCAGGUCCCAAAGCCUCUGCUUCAGCUUUCCUCCAAAAUGCCUGCAGCCCCCAGAACCUCCAGGUAGCGCUUCCUGGCAUGUCUCCUUGGCACGGCCAACAUCAUAGAACCACCAUACCGAAAACUCGGCCCUUCCUGUGAGGCGGCUGCUCUGAAUGUGUUAGUAGGGAGUGCUUGUCAGCCAGAGAAGAACAGAGGCCUGGCUCUGCACCUGUGGCUCCACUGGGAAGAUAGAAUAAGCCUCCCCUCCUCCAAGACUCAGCUCAUCCAGCAUGGUGGCUCACAUCUGUAAUCCCAGCACUAUAGGAGGCCGAGGUGGGAGGAUCGCUUGAGCCCAGGAAUUUGAGGCGACACAGCAAAACCCCAUCUCUACUAAAGAUUAUAAAAAUUGGCCGAGUGUGGUGGCACACACCUGUAGUCCCAGCGGCUGAGGUGGGAGGAUCACUUGAACCUGGAGGCAGAAGUUGCAGUGAGCUGAAAUCACACCACUGCACUCCAGCUUGGGCGACAGAGUGAGACCCUGUCUCAAAAACAAAGAAUGUGAGUACACAAUCGUUAAGUGCCCCACCUAGUUUUAGUUCUGGCUAGAGCAUAUGCUCUAUAACCCUGUUGGACUCUUAAGGCAAAGGAGAGGUCCAGGCAAUGACUGCAUCCAGGCAAGGAAGCAGGCACGGCAGCUUGGGAGCCAGGAGUCAAGCCCCGUGGCGAGGGCAUCUGACUGCAAGCCUUAGCACAGCCCAAGCAGGGUUAUGUGCUCUCUCAAGAAACGGAACAGGAAGGAGGAGGAGACAGGGUCUGGUUUAGCUUUCAGGCUUCAAGUGCCACCUGCUGGCAAGAAGGCUCCGUGCAAGGGCUCAUUGGCCCAGAGCCAGAGAAGGGGAGGCUGCGCGAUUCCAGCCUAGACCCAGCCCUACUCCAGAAAAUAGGCCUCCCCAGGGACCUGAGUCGCAUGGAGUGGAGUGGAAUGAACGGCCAGAGACGGAUCAUAACCAUAAAGAGUGACACUGUUGGGAGGCCGAGGUGGGCAAAUCACAAGGUCAGGAGAUCGGGACCAUCCUGGCUAGCACAGAUUAGCACAGACUCUACUAAACUCUACUAAAAAUACAACAAAAAUUUGCCGGGCAUGGUGGCACAUGCCUGUAAUCCCAGCUACUCGGGAGGCUGAGUCAGGAGAAUUGCUUGAACCCGGGAGGUGGAGGUUGCAGUGAACCGAGAUCACGCCACUGCAUUCCAGCCUGGCGACAGAGCAAUCUCAAAAAAAGAAAAAAGAGUGAUACUAGGGAUCUGAAUGUAAUUGCGCAAAGGAAAAGAGCUAUUUAUGCCCAUGAUGUAUUGUUUGUU